CCGUAAACCGACACAGGUAGUCAAGGAGAGAAUCCUAAGGUGCUCGAGUGAUUCAUGGCUAAGGAACUAGGCAAAAUGGCCCUGUAACUUCGGGAGAAGGGGCGCCAUCUUCGGAUGGCCGCAGUGAAAAGACCCAGGCGACUGUUUAGCAAAAACACAUGGCUUUGCGAAAUCGAGAGAUGAUGUAUAAGGCCUGACACCUGCCCGGUGCCGGAAGGUUAAGGGGGGGCGUUAUUUCCUUCGGGAGAGAAGCGCUGAACUGAAGCCCCGGUAAACGGCGGCCG
This 284-nucleotide ribosomal RNA is filed under the name uncultured Symbiodinium. RNAcentral describes it as "partial Bacterial large subunit ribosomal RNA". It matches the Rfam family "Bacterial large subunit ribosomal RNA", at positions 1647 to 1936 of the family's 2925-position model. The record is from RNAcentral. Lineage: Eukaryota; Dinophyceae; Suessiales; Symbiodiniaceae.